Molecule: ribosomal RNA, 440 nt
Filed under: uncultured bacterium
Lineage: Bacteria
Description: partial 16S ribosomal RNA
Rfam family: Bacterial small subunit ribosomal RNA
Source: RNAcentral
CCUACGGGUGGCCGCAGUGGGGAAUAUUGCACAAUGGGCGAAACCCUGAUGCAGCGACGCCGCGUGAGUGAAGAAGUUAUUCGUUAUGUAAAGCUCUAUCAGCAGGGCAGAAAAUGACGUUACCUGAGUAAGAAGCCCCGGCUAACUACGGGCCAGCAGCCGCGGUAAUACGUCGGGGGCAAGCGUUAUCCGGAUGUACUGGGUGUAAAGGGAGCGUAGACGGCAGUGCAAGUCUGGAGUGAAAGGCGCGGGCUCAACCCCCGGACUGCUCUGGAAACUGUACGGCUUGAGUGCAGGAGAGGUAAGUGGAAUGCCUAGUGUAGCGGUGAAAUGCGUAGAUAUUAGGAGGAACACCAGUGGCGAAGGCGGCAUACUGGACUGUAACUGACGUUGAGGCACGAAAGCGUGGGUAGCAAACAGGAUUAGAUACCCUUGUAGUC